UACUGCAGUGUCCUAGUGGUUAGAGCAUCCAACACGGAUGCGGGAGGUCAUGGGUUCGAUCCCCGUCUGUGUCA
Potamilus streckersoni is the source of this 74-nucleotide non-coding RNA. The record is from the annotation of a GenBank genome assembly. NCBI's taxonomy places the organism in Eukaryota, Metazoa, Mollusca, Bivalvia, Unionida, Unionidae.